UGGGGAAUCUUCCGCAAUGGACGAAAGUCUGACGGAGCAACGCCGCGUGAGUGAAGAAGGUUUUCGGAUCGUAAAACUCUGUCUUUUGGGGCGAACGUGAGUAUGGUGAACAAUCAUAGUCAGUGACGGUACCAAAGGAGGAAGCCACGGCUAACUACGUGCCAGCAGCCGCGGUAAUACGUAGGUGGCAAGCGUUGUCCGGAAUUAUUGGGCGUAAAGAGCGCGUAGGCGGGAUAGUCAGUCUGUUGUAAAAGUGCGGGGCUCAACCCCGUGAUCGCAAUGGAAACAGCUAUUCUUGAGUGCAGGAGAGGAAAGUGGAAUUCCCAGUGUAGCGGUGAAAUGCGUAGAUAUUGGGAGGAACACCAGUGGCGAAGGCGACUUUCUGGACUGUGUCUGACGCUGGGGCGCGAAAGCCAGGGGAGCGAACGGGAUUAGAUACCCCGGUAGUCCUGGGCCGUAAAACGAUGGGUACUAGGUGUGGGAGGUAUCGACCCCUUCCGUGCCGGAGUUAACGCAAUAAGUACCCCGCCUGGGGAGUACGGUCGCAAGACUGAAACUCAAAGGAAUUGACGGGGUCAUAGCUG
RNAcentral lists this ribosomal RNA (584 nucleotides) under uncultured bacterium. RNAcentral describes it as "partial 16S ribosomal RNA". It matches the Rfam family "Bacterial small subunit ribosomal RNA", at positions 355 to 932 of the family's 1533-position model. The record is from RNAcentral.